Molecule: RNase P RNA, 306 nt
Filed under: Bacillota bacterium
Lineage: Bacteria; Bacillati; Bacillota
Description: Firmicutes bacterium (anaerobic digester metagenome) partial RNase P RNA component class A
Rfam family: Bacterial RNase P class A
About the family: Ribonuclease P (RNase P) is a ubiquitous endoribonuclease, found in archaea, bacteria and eukarya as well as chloroplasts and mitochondria. Its best characterised activity is the generation of mature 5'-ends of tRNAs by cleaving the 5'-leader elements of precursor-tRNAs.
Source: RNAcentral
UCCGAGCUCCGCAGAGCGGGAUGCUGGGUAACGCCCAGUGGGGGCAACCCCAAGGCUAGUGCCACAGAAAUAAACCGCCCCGGGAAUAAAUCCCCGUGGGUAAGGCUGAAAAGGUGAGGUAAGGGCUCACCAGCGGUUAGGCGACUAAUCGGCUAGGUAAACCCCAUCCGGAGCAAGGUUAAAUAGGGAAGGAGAGGCUGCUCGCCUCACGUGACUUCCGGGUUAACCGCAUUAGGUUUUAGGCAACUAAAAUCCUAGAUAGAUGAUCGUCCUUGACAGAACUCGGCUUAUAGGUUCACUCAGAUG